RNAcentral lists this ribosomal RNA (393 nucleotides) under uncultured bacterium. Its description in RNAcentral is "bacterial SSU rRNA". It matches the Rfam family "Bacterial small subunit ribosomal RNA", at positions 28 to 422 of the family's 1533-position model. The record is from RNAcentral.
GACGAACGCUGGCGGCGUGCUUAACACAUGCAAGUCGAGCGGUAAGGCCCUUCGGGGUACGACGAGCGGCGAACGGGUGAGUAACACGUGGGUGACCUGCCCUUAGCUCUGGGAUAAGCCUGGGAAACUGGGUCUAAUACCGGAUAUGACCUCAUGACGCAUGUUGUGGGGUGGAAAGCCUUGUGCGGCUAGGGAUGGGCCCGCGGCCUAUCAGCUUGUUGGUGGGGUGAUGGCCACCAAGGCGACGACGGGUAGCCGGCCUGAGAGGGCGACCGGCCACACUGGGACUGAGACACGGACCAGACUCCUACGGGAGGGCAGCAGUAAGGAAUAUUGGUCAAUGGGCGCAAGCCUGAACCAGCCAUGCCGCGUGCAGGAAGACGGCCCUACGGG